CCACGGAUUCAACUGUCUCGAGCUCUCCUGCUCUGGUCAGUUACUACAAAAUGGCUGCAGAGGCUYCUCCGCCUGUGAGAACCUGAACGCUUCAUGGUAGGAGUUACUCUUCCACGUUGACCGCUAAAAUAAGAAAAAAACAAAUCGUAGUUGCGGCCUUCCGUUUGCGCAAAUAUGCAGGAUUAUGACGUUUCGAAGCUCAGCUAGGCUAAAGGCUUAAAGCUUAUUUAGCUCACCCUCCCCCURCUAAAUGAUGUUGUUUUUCCCCCUCGGGUGCUCAGAUUUUUUUUUUUUUUUGAACAAACUUGUCUGUUUUGGUUAGCAUACAGCUGCCGCCGUGUUUGGCACGAAGGUGUUCUUCGAKUCGACGGAACAGGCGUCGUUUGUUUGAGAUCGCAAGGGCGCCAUGUGUUGUUGCCAAGCUGCUGUAAUGUUUGUUUCAGCUGGGCAGACAUGGUGGGACGCCUCCCGCUGCUCUGCCGCGCAGGAGAUGUGAAACUGAUAUUACCGCCGCUCGUUCGGCACAAAUCAUCCCACCGAACAGCUCAUUCAUGUGGCGCUGAACAGUUCCCAGUUUCGUUCACUGACAGAAGGUUAGACAGUGCAUCCUAACCUUAAAAUAUACUCCUAAAAAGUGCUUAUAUCUUGUGCCUUAAUUGUGUCGUUUAAUUUUAAAGAGGAGAGUCAAACAGCUUAACGUUGCCUCUGCUUGGCAUCAUGCACACGCACGCGCACGCUCCUCCAGUGUGUGCAGACUGGGAAUGCCAGUACUCUGAUGCAUGCAGAGAGCAGACUGAGCUGUGAAAGAAGCCAAAACACAAGAAGAAAAC
Long non-coding RNA from Austrofundulus limnaeus, 830 nucleotides. RefSeq lists it as uncharacterized. NCBI's taxonomy places the organism in Eukaryota, Metazoa, Chordata, Actinopteri, Cyprinodontiformes, Rivulidae. The transcript is spliced from 3 exons. The record is from RefSeq and is a predicted model, not a curated record.